RNAcentral lists this ribosomal RNA (330 nucleotides) under uncultured eukaryote. RNAcentral's name for it is "partial 18S ribosomal RNA". It matches the Rfam family "Eukaryotic small subunit ribosomal RNA", at positions 1470 to 1796 of the family's 1831-position model. The record is from RNAcentral.
CCCUUAGAUGUUCUGGGCCGCACGCGCGCUACACUGUCGGAUUCAGCGAGUCUUAACCUUAACCGAAAGGUUUGGGUAAUCUUUUGAAAGUCCGACGUGAUGGGGAUUGAUCAUUGCAAUUUUUGAUCUUGAACGAGGAAUUCCUAGUAAGCGCGAGUCAUCAGCUCGCGUUGAUUACGUCCCUGCCCUUUGUACACACCGCCCGUCGCUACUACCGAUUGAAUGGUUUAGUGAGGACUCCUGAUUGGCGCCGCCGCCCCGGCAACGGAGCAGCGGACUGCCGAAAAGUUGUUCAAACUUGAUCAUUUAGAGGAAGUAAAAGUCGUAACA